Molecule: ribosomal RNA, 429 nt
Filed under: Acidobacteriota bacterium
Lineage: Bacteria; Pseudomonadati; Acidobacteriota
Description: Acidobacteria bacterium partial 16S ribosomal RNA
Rfam family: Bacterial small subunit ribosomal RNA
Source: RNAcentral
UGGGGAAUUUUGGACAAUGGGGGAAACCCUGAUCCAGCCAUCCCGCGUGUGCGAUGAAGGCCUUCGGGUUGUAAAGCACUUUUGGCAGGAAAGAAACGUCAUGGGUUAAUACCCCGUGAAACUGACGGUACCUGCAGAAUAAGCACCGGCUAACUACGUGCCAGCAGCCGCGGUAAUACGUAGGGUGCAAGCGUUAAUCGGAAUUACUGGGCGUAAAGCGUGCGCAGGCGGUUUGGAAAGAAAGAUGUGAAAUCCCAGAGCUCAACUUUGGAACUGCAUUUUUAACUACCGGGCUAGAGUGUGUCAGAGGGAGGUGGAAUUCCGCGUGUAGCAGUGAAAUGCGUAGAUAUGCGGAGGAACACCGAUGGCGAAGGCAGCCUCCUGGGAUAACACUGACGCUCAUGCACGAAAGCGUGGGGAGCAAACAGG